UACGUAUAGCGGAUCCACUUUGUUAUACAGCAGAAACUAACACACCAUUGUAAAGCAAUUAUACUCCUAUAAAGAUAUUUUUAAAAAUAAUAUAAAUAAAUAAUAAAAAGUUAUUAGGACACUUUUCAUUGACUCUGGUAAAUAACCGGCAAGGUUGUCUCUGCUCUGUUGUUGAAUGCAGGGAGGAGGGUGUUGAUGAGGGUUUAAACGAAUACAGCCUCUCUGCAGGUCUGUUAGGCAAUAUGUCUCAUGUUUUUUAUUUAAAUUCUAUUUUCUUGUCGUAAGAACACUUAGCAUGAGACCCACUCGCUUAAUCUUUAAGUGUACGAUAUACAUUGCUGUUGACCCUGGGUGCAAGGUUGCACAGCAGACCCCCGGAGCUCACCCACCGUGCUUGACUGAAACGCCUAUUGGUCAGUGGCUCCCCAACCUCCUCCCCCAGCCCCUGGCAACCACCGUAUUCUACUCUUUGUUUUGAUAAGUGCCAAUCAAAACCACAACGAGGUGUCACCUCACACCAGCCAGAACGAGCUUCAUCAGAAAAUCUACAGUUUGUAGAUUUUUGUUUUGAUAAAUUCGCCUAUUUUAUUAGAUCCCCGUGCAAAUAGAAUCAUACAGUGUUUGUCUUUCUGUGUCUGACUUAUUUCACUUAGCACCACGUCUGCAAGUUUCAUCUGCCUUGUGGUAUAUGGAAGAAUUUCCUUCUUUUUUCAUGGCUGAAUGGUCUGCCGUUGUGUGAAUGUACCACACUUUCUUUACCUGUUCUUCUGUCGAUGGACGUUUAGGUUAUUUCCACAUGCUGGCUAUUGUGAAUAAUGCUGCAGUGAACAUGGGAGCACGGACAUCACCUCGAGAUCCUGAUUUCAGUUCGUUUAAAAAUGCUUUGCUUGUGAGCCGGUGAUUUUAUGGAGCUGUAUCAGAAGGCAACAAAGUGGAAACAUAUAAAUAUGUAAGGAUCCUCUUUGCAAAUGUAUUUGAAAGAGCAGUGAAUUGGAAAUAACAGAAAUGCCAAACCUUGAGGACGGGUAAAUAUGGGUGGUCCAUGCAGGGGCGGGCCCUUCCCGUCCUCAGGACUUUGGAGAGAUCCGCACCCAACAAUGGACACCAUCACAGGAGAAAAGAGCAGUUGUCAGCAAGAGAGCAUGUCCUCAUUUUUGUAAAUAUUCACAUAUAUAGAUACACAGAAAACAGACUGAGGGGACACACAUCAAGCUGAACAGAGGUUAUCUUUGGGGGCUAGAGGUGAGGUAGGAGUUUCACUUAGUACUUUAUAUGCCCCUUUAUUAUUUGAACUGUCUUUAGCGCGCAUAUGUGACUUUCAUUUGUCAGAGUAAAAACAAUAGAGUAUUUUCAUUUUGCACAAAACAGAAAUGAGAAUACAGGGCCAGGGCUGUGUUGUGCUUACAGGCUCUCGUAUUGGUAAGUUCCUUCCAUAACAUGCUCCAUUUAUAUAAAAUACCUGCUUCAUUCUUUCUUGUAUUCAGCAAACAUUUGAUUCCUAAAGCACAAAAGCACUAGGCUAGGAAUUGUGGAAAUUCAGAGACUAAUAAAUCAUGCCCUUUGCUGUGCAGAACUCAGAGGCAAACAGGGGAGCUGGGCACGGCAGCAGUGAGCUAAAACCAAGGGAGGGGGAGCUAAGGGUUGUCCCCUGCAUCUGGGCAGGAAGAGGGGCCGACUAACUGCCACCCAGGGGACUUCUGGGGUCUUCUGUGAGAAGUAGCAUUAAAGAGUGAGGCAGAUUUCAGCAGGGGCAGAAGAUUGAUAAAAGCGUUGGGAAAGGAAGGGCAUUCCAGGCUGAAAGGACAGCUUGAGAAAAGGCAAGGAAGCAGGGACCCAGUAGAGCACAGUCCAGCCCACAUGAGCCAUCUGUUCAAUGGGGCUGAAAGAAAUGCCCCUGGUUUUCCUUCUUUCACUUCUGUGUGCCUGGUGCCUAGCAUGGAGCUUGGUACUAAGUACCCAUGUGCUUGGAAGGGUGGACGGAUGGAUGGAUGGAUGGUUGGAUGGACAAAUGGAUGGAGGAAUGCAUGGAAGAAAGAAUGAACUAAAGAACAAAUGAACACAUAAGUCCAUGCAAAGUGCUGAAAACCAUACUAAUGUUAUCUCAUAACAUAGACAGACCCUCACAUCUAGUGAUGUGUCUCCUGUAGCUAAACACUUGAAACCUAGAGGAAUAUGUCCACGUCCUCCAAGAAUAACGUGAAAAUGUGUAUGCAUGUAAAUGAGAACUAUAGAGGAGCGUGGAAAAUAAACACACAUACACACACACACAUACACACAUACACAGACACACACCCCCCCAACACACACACACACACACCGUCAUUCGGUCACUUUUGAUUAUGUUCCUACCAAGUGCUUCUCCCUCAGCAAGGUGCAGAAGCCAAGGUGGGGACAGGGGCCCUGGGUUUCAUGGUAAGAGUCCUACUCAAUCUCUUUACAUCAGAACUUCCCUUCCCUCUGAAACAAUUUUCUGAGUCUAGUCACAUUACACGUGACCGACACAAUGAGAUUCAGAGACCAAAGCAGCCGCAGUGGAACGGAUGCUUUCUAAAAAAACCAAGAAAUCCAGGGCUCUGAUUCUGCCACUGGGGAACGCUUCCUGGCUACUGGUCACCAGAGAGGAUGGAGGGUAAAAUUAGCCCUGCCUAACUAAAAGUGGCCACGGCAUGUCCUGGUUCUAAGAAGGAAAACAGUGGUAGGUACAAGUUCUAGAGGGGAUGGAGGGUAAAAUUAGCCCUGCCUAACUAAAAGUGGCCACGGCAUGUCCUGGUUCUAAGAAGGAAAACAGUGGUAGGUACAAGUUCUAGAAGGUGAACAGCACUAGAUUUCCAUUGGGCCUUAAAACUGUUUUCUAAAGUAAAGCACAGGCUGGUUUCUGAUGUAUCCAGCAGGUGGUUACUGUACCACGUAGAACAGUGAGGGUUCCUUGGGCUUUAGUUGCAUAUGGCAUCCUAGGAAUGGACAUUUCUACUCAAAACUGAAGGAGUUGUUUCUUCCAGACCUUAGGAGAAGGGUUUAAACCAAUGUCACAUCUCCACUCUGCCCACUUGUUAGCUGUCUGACCUUGGGCAAGUCAUCGUCUACAAGCUUUCAUUUCUUCCUGUGUAAAACAGAGGUGGUGAAAUUACCUCUCUGAGGUAGUCAUAUGAGAUACUGUUGGCACCCUUAGUAAAUGUUUAAUAAAUCUCCGUUGCUGCCAAUGUUAACAAUAUUUUCUAGAAGUCUGUAAAUACAUCUACCAGAACACUUUUGUUUAAACACCUUAAACUAACAAAAGCUGCAGAAAAAAACCUUUUGCCCGUUAGAUCUUGUCUUGAUUGGACCGUCAGACUUUGCCAAAACACUUUGCAAAGACAUUACCUUAAUUGAUCGGAAUAGCCGUGUGCCGGGAAAACACAUCGUCUCCAGCCAUUGUUUGUCGAGUGGCUGUGAUGAUCUCUGGGAAAGGGACAGCCAGGGGCAAAGCUGGGCCGUCUUGGCAAAGACUGGAGGGUCUUGAUGUUUCUCCAAAUCUUGUAACAAGGAGUGAGCCAGAACUUUCUUUCAACGGGUAAAAUUGCUUUUCCAAGCUGGUGAGCCAGAAUUGCUUCCCUGAUCCAUUUGUUUUUUUAAUUCUCUCCCACUUGAUGUUGGCACUCUGCAGAAUCCGGAGCACGUCAUUAUUAUACAGACGUCAUUGGGAGCUUAGCGGGCGCUGAUCAACCAGCGUGAACUCAGAGGAAACCAUGUCCCCAAGUCAGCCCCAAAUUACAGCCCUUGGCAGUGUUUCCAGCCAAAAGAAGAUCAUGUAAUGUUAUAGAAUUCCCUUCCUUCAUUCGAUGGUGGACGUCAGUGUGAGGUCAGGAACUUUAUCUGUCUUUGAAUCCACUGUCCUUCCUCUCGCAGCAUAAGGAAUCAACAGUGGCUUGUUGGUUAAUGGAAAGAGCAAGUGAACAAAUGAUGCAGUCUCUCACCAUCUUUUAAGACGAGAUUGAGAAGCAUGUACAAGAAAAUAAUACAGGCAGGAAGAUCCAUGGCAUUUGAGCAUCAUGAUGAAUGAAAUGGAUGGAUGUCACCCCUGAACGAAGAAACCCAGGUACCAGAGCCAAGGCUCUCUGCCUUUCAACAUCAUCAUCCGCAGCUGGACAAAAGGGGGAGACGGGAUUAUGACAGGUGGAGGUAAGAGCAGGCGGCCCACCCCUGACCAGGGUCCCCCCCGAGCAGGGUAUCCCAAGAGCCCAGCCACACACCCCCGGGGCCCCCAGGCCCCAGGGAGAACCAAGGACUAGAGUACUGCGCAGAUACUAACAGAAAAGUGGAAAGCUUUGACAACCAUUUAUUUCAAAAAAUCCUGGUGACUUUAAUCCCGAGCUCAGUGCGAGGUAACCAAGUGACAAGGAUUCUUAACAUCGGGAAACAGUUUCUGAAUCUGAUUUUCCUCCAGUCUUACAUGUUCCUUACCUCAGAGGCUGCAGUCAAGAAAUGUACUGGAAACUCCAAAAAGGAAAAGAACAGAAAGAAAAAGACAUAUGGGAAAGAUAAAGGAGGUCUACAGAGUUUAAUCUGUCACAGCCAAAACCACAGUCUUAGUAUUCCACCAAAGAAAGAGGAGGUGAAUUGAAUGAACUGUGGCUGGAGGAAUCCAUGCAGUGCUGGGCAGCCUUUAAAAGAUACGGGAAAACGUGGCUGAUGGGACGAGCUAGUCUAGCUCUCUCCUCUCCAAACCCCAUUAAAAUGAAUAAAAAGCAUGAGUCCACUACGGCAAAGAGACGGGGAGAAGUAACAAGGACAGUUGUCAGUAGACACUUGGAGCUAGGAUGAGUUGAUGGAGCUAAAUUCCUGGCAAAGCAGAAGAAGUUGAGCGGUGCAGGCCGGGCGGAGAGGCCAUCGGAGGAGGCCCGGCCUCCACGAGACUCGGGACAGUGGGCGUGAGUCCUCUGCACGGCAGUGGGCAGGAGAGCUGCUGACCAAGGACGGGCUGUCUGGCUGUGAAGCAGCAAGGCCUCCAGGCCCUACCCUGCCACGGACAGCCGCAGGUCUGCCCGUGAUAUAAGGGAAAAGAAUCUGAAAAAGAAUAGAUAUAAAUAUAUGUAUAACUGAAUCACUGUGUUGUAUACCUGAAACUAACACAACAUUGUAAAUCAACUAUACUUCAGUUUAAAAAAAAAAAAAAAAGGAGAGAGACUGACUCUAGGACGUCAGGGAGCAGUGAAGCCCAGUGCUGCAUGAGAGCCCAGGCCUUUCCACUGGACCCUACUCUGCAAGGCCAGCUGCCACCUGCAGGCAGGAAGCUGGAAGAGAGGAUCCUACCAAUAUGGACAUUUGGGGAUCCCCCAGUGAGCCCACCAGAUUUCUUCCCACGCGGAAUCCCAUGAGUGUCCACAGACGCUGUCCACAGAAACACACUUAAUCAGGAUCAGUUGGCCAAGCAUCACCAGAAAUUGAGGCAAGGUCAGGAUGUGACAGCCAAGAGGCCAAGACAAAGAGAGAAGAAAGGAACUUGGAGAAAAAGUGUGGAUAACAAAAGAAAAUGAAAAUAAAGACACUUUCUGUUGAAUUAUAGUUGAUUUACAAUGUUGUGUUAGUUUCAGGUGUACAGCAAAGUGAUUCAGUUAUAUAUAUAUUUUUCCAGAUUCUUUUGCCAUAUAAGAUAUUACAAAAUAUUGAGUGUAGUUCCCUUGUUGUUUAUCUAUUUUAUAUAUAGUAGUGUGUGUACGUUGCUUCCAAAUUCCUAAUUUAUCCCUCCCCACCGCCUUUCCUCUUCGGUAACUGUAAGUUUCUUUUCUAUGUCUGUGAGUCUAUUUCUGUUUUGUAAAUAAGUUCAUUUGUAUCGUUUCUUAGAUUCCACAUAUAAGCGAUAUCAUAUGAUAUUUGUCUUUCUCUAACUUACUUCACUUAGCAUGACGAUCUCUAGGUCCAUCCAUGUUGCUGCAAAUGGCAUCAUUUCAUCCUUUUUUUAUGGAUAUUUUUAAAGAUAUAAAUUAAUAGCCUCAGAGAAGAGAAUGUAUCCAGGAAACAUACAUGAAGCUAUUUCAAAAAGAUAUAACAAGAAAGAGCACUUGGAAAUUAAAAAUAUAGUAACUGAAAAUUUAAAAACCAGAAGAGUUGGAUAAUGAAAUAAAGGGCAUUUCUAAGAGGGGGGGGGGAAUGUUAAUUAGUCAAGAAUAUUCAAAUAUGACACAAAUGGGCUUCCCUGGUGGCGCAGUGGUUGGGAGCCCACCUGCCGACGCAGGGGACACGGGUUCGUGCCCCGGUCCGGGAGGAUCCCACAUGCCGCGGAGCGGCUGGGCCCGUGAGCCACGGCCGCUGAGCCUGCGCGUCCGGAGCCUGUGCUCCGCAACGGGAGGGGCCACAGCAGUGCGAGGCCGGCGUACCGCAAAAAAAAAAAAAAAAAAAAUGACACAAAUGAACUUAUCUAUGAAACAGAAACAGACUCAAAGACGUAGAGAACAGACUUGUGGUUGCCGAGGGGAUAGGCAGGGAGAGGGAUGGACUGGGAGUUUGGGGUUAGCAGAUGCGAACUAGUAUAUAUAGGAUGGAUAAACAACAAGGUCCUACUGUAUAGCACAGGGAAAUAUAUUCAAUAUCCUCUGAUAAACCGUAAUGGAAAAAGAAUAUAAAAAAGAAUGUAUAUAUAACUGAAUCACUUUGCUGUCCAUCAGAAAUUAACACAACAUUGUAAAUCAACUGUAUUUCAAUUUAAAAAAAGAAUAUUCAAGAAAGAUUAGAAAAUUGAUUUAGAACUUGCAGCGUUCAACUAAUUGGAAUCCAGAAAGAAAGGAGAAAAGAGAAGGAAGAAAAAAAUCUUUGAGGAAGAGUACUAGAACAUUCUGCAGAAUCGCAGGCUGUACGGGUGGCUGGGGUCCGUGGAUGACCCAGCAGAGGGUGAAAGCAGCCUCACCCAGGGCAUGCCACGAUGGUCCAGGGCUCAAGGAGUGAGAAGGUGCUCAAGCCUGUGGAAGGAAGGAAGACAGCCAGCCAGCCUGGGGUCGGGGUGGGGGUGGGUGUCCCCGCUGCAGGGUUGCAGGCUGGAAGACAGUGGAGUGAGAGCUGAGCAUGCUGAGAGAGCUUUCCGGUGUAGACCUCACAGGUACCAUGCUGACUGCUCAGUGUAAGAGAACACAAACAUUUUUAGGUUUUCAAGAUCUCAGAAUUUUACCCCAUACCCAUCUUGUCGCAGAAAGCUGAUAGAAAGUGCCCCCCUAAAAUGAAGAAGUGAAUUUUUAAAAGGCAUAGGAUCCAGGAAGCAAAGGAUAAAAAAAUCUGGGUAAAGGAAUUUCCAGGAAACUCAGUGAGAAGAAAAAGUAAGAAAACAAAUCAGUUGUCAAGUUCAGAGCAAACGGAAGUUCAUCUAGAAAGAAAAUGUCGUCAACAUACACAUUAUAUGUCUCGGCCGCAGAAAGUUGCUCUUGAAGAAGAUUUCCGUUUUCAGAAUUAUAAUGUCUAUUAUAACUCUAUAUGGAUAACUAAAUAGUGAAUGUUAAUUUGAACAUCGUGCUCUAACGUUUUUUCAAAGACUGGGGAGGAAAAGUAUGUGUGGGGUCGUGUGUCUGUGUGUGUGCCUGUGUCUCAAAGAACUUCUGGAGUAGGAAGCCAAAAUCUAACAUGGGAAAAGUCAAGAAACAGCAGAAUAAGCUCAUUAUGUAGAAAGACGGAAUAAAUGCUAGACGAAAAGUAGUUUGAAGUGGCUGCUGUUGGAGUGGGCUAGGAGCUGCGGGUUUGACUCUCAGCCUUGUGGAACUGUUUGCCUUUUCAUGUCCAUGUUUUGCAUAAAACAUGGAAUUUUAAAGGUAUAGGAGGUGGUUAUAAUGCAUUGUGGUAGAAGGAUAGAAAAAAUAUGACUUUUAAAAGAAAACAGAAAGACCAGAAAAAUGUAUGCCAAUUGCUAGUAGUUAAUCCGAGUGUCAAUUAAGGGAUUUUUUUUCCUUCCUUUUAUAAUUAAAAAAAAAUUGCAAUAGAUAUGUAUUACUGAUGAAGUUGUAAAAGACCUUUUACACACACAGAUGCACGCACACGCACACGCACACGCACACAGAGCAGCAGGUCCGGCCCAGAAGAGGAGGUUCCCCUCCUUGGGAGGAGGAGACACGCACUCCAUCCACUGCGAGCCUGAGCUGAUAAACCAAGGAGCUCCAAGAGCAGGACUCGAGGCCCAGCAGGUGGUGUUGGCAGCACCCCUCCCAGGACGAGCACUUGAAGGACCAGGGCCUCCUUGGACCUGGAGGGCCGAGGCUGCUGUAAGCCCCCCAGGGGGGAACCAAGCACAGGCAUCUUAUCGUCCCUUCCACAUCCUCUGCAGGUGGCGCAGUGCUCUUUACAUGCAGUUUCAUCAGUGAGGGUGGAUGCAGGAAGGCUUUGUCCGUAGUGCAGAGGAGAGGGGCAGUUUGCGCUCUUUCAGGAACAGACCUGGAAUCAGUGAAUCCAGCCUUGCAGACAAAACGGAUUUCCCCUUCAACAGUGAGACCUGCUGGAUCCUAACAAGCCGCCUUUAGAAGCUGUGCCUCUGUCAUUGCUGAGUCUCCCGGAGGAGCUGGGUUUCCGUGCUGGGUGGGAGCGUGGUGUCCCAUAUGCCCAUGGGCUGACAAACCCACUGCGGCUCUGGGUGCGGGGCGGUCGGCCUGUGGACAGUUGCUACCCUGGCUGUGGGGCCAGGAGAGCGAGAGAAAGGCCAGGGGUAAGGCCAGAGAUGCCCUCUGUCCUUCCUCUGCAGGAACACACCGUGGGGCCCCUGGGGAAGCUUCCAGAAGGAAUAGUUCUUCUUUGCAUUUAAGUGAGAGCUCGGGAUCCCCUUUCUCAUAGUUAUGCUGAGGAGAGAUUUCCAAGUCUUCUGAUUUGCCUGGAGCCCCGAGGAAAUACGGGGCAGAGCCCCCGCCUCCCGCCACCUAGGGGUCUUGGGGGCCAUCUCUGAGCAUCCCCGGACCCCCUCAGGGCCACUCCCGGGCAACCAGCAAGGGGACCGGCAACCUGCCAGCCCUCCUCGGGGUACCCGUCUCGCCGGCCAGCUCCUUCACUUGCACAGCCCCACUCACACUGACUGUUUGUCCUCCCUUGUGCUUCACAGGUGUCUCUGGGGUCCCAGAUGGACCUACAGAAGAAGAAGAGGCGUGCACCAGCUCCCCCUGCGCCCCAGCCCCCGCCGUCCAGCCCGCUGGUGCCCCCCCGCACGGAGGACAGGGAGGAGGACCGGAAGGGCAGGACGGUUUAUUGCUGUGCAUCAUUCCCUACCCAUGCCAAGCGCUUCUGACGGACGGCCCCUUCCUGGAGCUCCGUACCUCUGACUUUUCCCUGUGCCUCUGCUGUCCUGACUCUGGUUCUCCUGUUGGUCUUCCAUCUGUCAGCAUAAAAGAGCUCAUUUGUACACCCGCAACUUACUUUCUUUAGAACUUACAUAUGAAUGCAUAAACAACAGAGAUCUGCCUGACCGAGGUUCAUAUUUCCUUGUAGGAGGUGAAGACUCUUCUGUAUGUAAAUUCUAGGUUGCUUAUACUGACCUGUCUGAAAUUCCUCUUUCAUUGAUACGUGGAUAUGUUUUUAUUAAGAACCUUGCUUUAUUUGAAUUCAUUAUUAAUUCGUAUUUUUCUUGUUUGAUAUUCAGAUACAGAAUUUCUUCUCCAUUUUCCUUUCAACAAGAUGGUGUCUAUAAAUUGACCAGCAAGGGCAAUGUGGAUAGAACUGAAAUAGUCUAUCUUCCUGGUAAAACUAAGUGCCUAAGCCCAGGAACUAUAAAUAUAACCUGUAGGGACCCACAACUCAGGAUCCAUAGGUAGCCAUUCAAGAUAUGUAGGCUAUAACGUUUCUGCAGAUGUUUUCCAGGUUUUCCUAUUACUGUGUCCCCUGCCAUUUAGAGAGUUUAUGAGAAGAAAACAGAGGAAGAGGAGCGUGUGUCUCACUUUGUUGAUUCACCAAACACGGGGUGCUUGCUUGAUGCUAGGGGGCUGUGGGGGCUGUUAGAGUGAGUAGCACAUGACCUCUGCCCAUGGCUUCUACUUACCAUGACUGGCUCGAGGAAAGAAGUAGCGAUGGGUCCAUUUGAUAAAUGCUAGUCCGGAGGUUUGUACGAGUGGAACAUAUGCCCAAGGGUGUAGCUACCAUGUCCACGUAGGGGUGUUGCCUGCUCUUCCUAGAGACUAAGGUCCUUCUCCCAUCUUGAGAAAACGGACACAGUCACUGAGAACCGGUCACCGCAGCAGUCCUAAGACAGAGCAGGUGAAAAUACUCAUGGGAAGAUUCAGGGUUUAAGAAGAAAGACUUGCUUGCUUUGAUACAUUUUUAUUAUUGUGCAAAGAUACAUUUGAAUUGGAGAAGCUGAUCGUGUUUCUCUCCAAAAGGUUUUUUAAAUGUUAUUGCUCAAAGUGAGAAAAAAGAUGAGUGUUUUUUACUUGUAUGACUGUUGUCUGCUUGAUCACAAUGAGGAUGGUAGCAAUAACUGAUGUAGGAAAUAUCGCAGCUGAUAUUGGUAUUACUAGUAAAUAUAAGCUAGAACUUCUAGAAAUAUAUAGCUAGAGCUGUGUAUAACCAAUCUAGUGCCAUGUGUUGGUGAAAAAAAAACAGAAAUUACUCAGGAGGAGACAUAGAACAAGUUAGAAAGUGCUUUUCUUUUGCAUUGAAAUAAAGAACUUUGUCUGAUAA
Long non-coding RNA from Physeter macrocephalus (sperm whale), 10608 nucleotides. RefSeq lists it as uncharacterized. The record is from RefSeq and is a predicted model, not a curated record. The transcript is spliced from 2 exons. Lineage: Eukaryota; Metazoa; Chordata; Mammalia; Artiodactyla; Physeteridae.